RNAcentral lists this microRNA precursor (99 nucleotides) under Prolemur simus (greater bamboo lemur). RNAcentral describes it as "microRNA 128-1 (ENSPSMG00000008368.1)". The stretch from base 35 to 99 matches the Rfam family "mir-128 microRNA precursor family", at positions 1 to 67 of the family's 83-position model. The record is from RNAcentral. Lineage: Eukaryota; Metazoa; Chordata; Mammalia; Primates; Lemuridae.
UGUUUAAUAUUUUGCAAUAAUUGGCCUUGUUCCUGAGCUGUUGGAUUCGGGGCCGUAGCACUGUCUGAGAGGUUUACAUUUCUCACAGUGAACCGGUCU